Molecule: ribosomal RNA, 482 nt
Filed under: uncultured bacterium
Lineage: Bacteria
Description: partial 16S ribosomal RNA
Rfam family: Bacterial small subunit ribosomal RNA
Source: RNAcentral
GACGAACGCUGGCGGCGUGCUUAACACAUGCAAGUCGAACGCUGAAGCUCAGCUUGCUGGGUGGAUGAGUGGCGAACGGGUGAGUAACACGUGAGUAACCUGCCCUCUUCUUUGGGAUAACGCCCGGAAACGGGUGCUAAUACUGGAUAUUCACUGAUUCUCGCAUGGGGGUUGGUGGAAAGGUUUUUUCUGGUGGGGGAUGGGCUCGCGGCCUAUCAGCUUGUUGGUGGGGUGAUGGCCUACCAAGGCUUUGACGGGUAGCCGGCCUGAGAGGGUGACCGGUCACAUUGGGACUGAGAUACGGCCCAGACUCCUACGGGAGGCAGCAGUGGGGAAUAUUGCACAAUGGGCGAAAGCCUGAUGCAGCGACGCCGCGUGAGGGAUGGAGGCCUUCGGGUUGUAAACCUCUCUCGCUCAUGGUCAAGCCGCAGCUUUGGGUUGUGGUGAGGGUAGUGGGUAAAGAAGCGCCGGCUAACUACGUG